Molecule: ribosomal RNA, 253 nt
Filed under: uncultured bacterium
Lineage: Bacteria
Description: partial 16S ribosomal RNA
Rfam family: Bacterial small subunit ribosomal RNA
Source: RNAcentral
UACGUAGAGUGCGAGCGUUGUCCGGAAUUACUGGGCGUAAAGAGCUCGUAGGUGGUUUGUCGCGUUGUUCGUGAAAACUCACAGCUUUACUGUGGGCGUGCGGGCGAUACGGGCAGACUGGAGUACUGCAGGGGAGACUGGAAUUCCUGGUGUAGCGGUGGAAUGCGCAGAUAUCAGGAGGAACACCGGUGGCGAAGGCGGGUCUCUGGGCAGUAACUGACGCUGAGGAGCGAAAGCGUGGGGAGCGAACAGG